AGCCGCCUGCUACUCAACGGUUCACCAGAAAGACAACGAACAUCUUCACCGGAAAAAUCCUAACCAUCCAAGCUAGUUAAAAACAGCAACUACACCAGACUAAGCAAAAGACAAACCUAUCUCUCAACCGGCCGAAGACAAAACCAGAUGGGUAAAAAGAAACUAGUCGAGACGCGCUGCUCACCUUGC
Non-coding RNA from Arachis ipaensis, 189 nucleotides. NCBI's taxonomy places the organism in Eukaryota, Viridiplantae, Streptophyta, Magnoliopsida, Fabales, Fabaceae. The record is from RefSeq and is a predicted model, not a curated record.